RNAcentral lists this ribosomal RNA (316 nucleotides) under uncultured bacterium. RNAcentral's name for it is "bacterial SSU rRNA". It matches the Rfam family "Bacterial small subunit ribosomal RNA", at positions 28 to 334 of the family's 1533-position model. The record is from RNAcentral.
GAUGAACGCUAGCUAUAGGCUUAACACAUGCAAGUCGAGGGGCAGCAUGAACUUAGCUUGCUAAGUUUGAUGGCGACCGGCGCACGGGUGAGUAACACGUGAGUAAUCUGCCUUCCAGAGGGGAAUAACGUUUGGAAACGAACGCUAAUACCGCAUAACGUGCGGUCCUCGCAUGGGGACUGUACCAAAGAUUUUAUCGCUGGAAGAUGAGCUCGCGGCCGAUUAGGUAGUUGGUGAGAUAACAGCCCACCAAGCCGACGAUCGGUAGCCGGACUGAGAGGUUGAUCGGCCACAUUGGGACUGAGACACGGCCCAG